UACGUAGGGUGCAAGCGUUGUCCGGAAUUAUUGGGCGUAAAGAGCUCGUAGGCGGUCUGUCGCGUCGGCUGUGAAAUCCCGAGGCUCAACCUCGGGUCUGCAGUCGAUACGGGCAAACUAGAGUAUUGCAGGGGAGACUGGAAUUCCUGGCGUAGCGGUGAAAUGCGCAGAUAUCAGGAAGAACACCCGUGGCUAAGGCGGCUCUCUAGUACGGUACUGACGCUGAGACGCGAAAGCGUGGGGAGCGAACAGG
Molecule: ribosomal RNA, 253 nt
Filed under: uncultured bacterium
Lineage: Bacteria
Description: partial 16S ribosomal RNA
Rfam family: Bacterial small subunit ribosomal RNA
Source: RNAcentral